This 245-nucleotide ribosomal RNA is filed under the name uncultured Azospirillum sp. RNAcentral describes it as "partial 16S ribosomal RNA". It matches the Rfam family "Bacterial small subunit ribosomal RNA", at positions 524 to 768 of the family's 1533-position model. Lineage: Bacteria; Pseudomonadati; Pseudomonadota; Alphaproteobacteria; Rhodospirillales; Azospirillaceae. The record is from RNAcentral.
UACGAAGGGGGCGAGCGUUGUUCGGAAUUACCGGGCGUAAAGGGCGCGCAGGCGGCCGGUCAAGUCAGAUGUGAAAGCCCCGGGCUCAACCUGGGAAUGGCAUUAGGGACUGAUCGGCUGGAGAUCGGGAGAGGAGGGUGGAAUUCCCAGUGUAGAGGUGAAAUUCGUAGAUAUUGGGAAGAACACCGGUGGCGAAGGCGGCUCUCUGGUCUGUAACUGACGCUGAGGCGCGAAAGCGUGGGGAG